Molecule: ribosomal RNA, 610 nt
Filed under: Micrometula hyalostriata
Lineage: Eukaryota; Foraminifera; Allogromiidae
Description: bacterial SSU rRNA
Rfam family: Eukaryotic small subunit ribosomal RNA
Source: RNAcentral
GGGUCCGGACACACUGAGGAUUGACAGACAAAAGAUACAAGUUUUCUUUGUGAGAGCUUGCAUUGUAAAAUAUGCGAGUCCUUUCAUGAUUAUGUGAUAGGUGGUGCAUGGCCGUUCUUAGUUCGUGGAGUGAUCUGUCUGCUUAAUUGCGUUUCACAACGAUUUAAAAUGCUAUGUUUUCUGUGUUUGCUGUUCGGUUUUAGCUCUUACGGGAGUUUUUAACUUUGAACGCACACGGCGUAGCUUAAAACAAUCGGAAAGCAACGAACGUGACCGCAACCUCUUGUUGCCUUUAUUUUUAAAAGCGUGGAAAAUUUUAUAUUUUCCUACGCUUGAAAAAGGCUUUAAAACUAGAGGGACCGCUGUUCUAUUCUCUUAAACCAGAGGAAGAUUGCGGCAAUAACAGGUCUGUGAUGCCCUCAGAUGUUCCGGGCUGCACACGUGCUACAAUGAUUGUUGCAGUGAGCAUCUAUUUUCAAACGCUACCGUUGCGGAUUUUGUGAGAAGGGGGAUUUGUUUUAAAGCUUUCGGGUGGAGAAGCAGGUUCUUUUUUUUUCACAAUUUAUUCCGCGUUACGUGUCAGCUAAACCUGCUUCGAAAGCAAGUAGGU